AUGGAGAUCUUCCCUUUAGACCCUAAGCGCCAAGAGAAGGAAACAAUUAUAAAUUUCCCCGAGCUGAAGCAUAUCCACCUACACGAUCUCCCCAAGCUGCAGCGCAUCUGUGGAAGUAAGAUUUUUGCGCCGAAGCUCGAGACUAUCAAGACAAGGAGCUGCUGGAGCCUGACGCACCUGCCCGCUGUUGCCAAGCAAUGCCCAGAGGUGGACUGCGAGAAGGACUGGUGGGACAGCUUGGAGUGGGACGAGGGGGAUGCAAACCACCACCCUUCGCUCUACAAGCCGAGCCACUCGAGGUACUACAAGAAGGCCCAACUGCCGAGAGGCACCGUACUCAGGUAA
RNAcentral lists this ribosomal RNA (345 nucleotides) under Triticum aestivum (bread wheat). Its description in RNAcentral is "partial small subunit ribosomal RNA". Lineage: Eukaryota; Viridiplantae; Streptophyta; Magnoliopsida; Poales; Poaceae. The record is from RNAcentral.